GCCUGGGUAGCUCAGUCGGUUAAGCAUCUGACUCGUAAUUUCAUCUCAGGUCAUGAUCUCACAGUUGUGGGAUCGAGCCCCACAUUAGGCU
This 91-nucleotide transfer RNA is filed under the name Felis catus (domestic cat). It matches the Rfam family "tRNA". Rfam says of the family: Transfer RNA (tRNA) molecules are approximately 80 nucleotides in length. Their secondary structure includes four short double-helical elements and three loops (D, anti-codon, and T loops). The record is from Rfam by way of RNAcentral. Lineage: Eukaryota; Metazoa; Chordata; Mammalia; Carnivora; Felidae.